AGAGUUUGAUCAUGGCUCAGAUUGAACGCUGGCGGUAUGCUUAACACAUGUAAGUCGAACGGUAACAGUCCCUCACCUAGAAAUUUCUUAAAAAGAGAUUUGUAGGUGAGGGAGCUGACGAGUGGCGGACGGGUGCGUAAUGUAUAGGAAUCUGCCUAGUAGUGGGGGACAACUCGGAGAAAUUCGAGCUAAUACCGCAUAAGCCCUACGGGGGAAAACGGGGGAUCUUCGGACCUCGUGCUAUUAGAUGAGCCUAUAUUAGAUUAGCUUGUUGGUGAGGUAAUGGCUCACCAAGGCGACGAUCUAUAGCUGGUCUGAGAGGAUGAUCAGCCACACUGGGACUGAGACACGGCCCAGACUCCUACGGGAGGCAGCAGUGGGGAAUAUUGGACAAUGGGCGAAAGCCUGAUCCAGCAAUACCGCGUGUGUGAAGAAGGCCUGAGGGUUGUAAAGCACUUUCAAUUGGGAGGAAUACCUAAUAGUUAAUAGCUAUUAGAUUGAC
This 502-nucleotide ribosomal RNA is filed under the name uncultured bacterium. Its description in RNAcentral is "bacterial SSU rRNA". It matches the Rfam family "Bacterial small subunit ribosomal RNA", at positions 8 to 473 of the family's 1533-position model. The record is from RNAcentral.